RNAcentral lists this ribosomal RNA (363 nucleotides) under Triticum aestivum (bread wheat). RNAcentral describes it as "partial small subunit ribosomal RNA". The record is from RNAcentral. Lineage: Eukaryota; Viridiplantae; Streptophyta; Magnoliopsida; Poales; Poaceae.
AUGAUUAUUUUGGUCGAAUUGGUAUCUACUUUUCAUAUAAAGAAUUUAUGGGGCAUUGCUAGCUCUCCUGUUUUCUUCACCUGGGCCUUUUCAUAUGAUCUUAAGUUUGUAUUAGGUGCAAAGAAAAAGAAGGCUGUAUGUUUGUUCCAUGUCAAUCUCGCCAGCCAAUGCUUGAAACUAAGUAAGACACAAGGUACCGUAGCAGUAAAUUAUUUGUUGUUUCAUGUCAGUCAUUUUUCUUAUAGAGCACACGACGAAUUUCCAAUGUUUUCUUGCCUGCGUAACUGUCGACCAAACUUCUACUGCAAGUCUGUAACAAAAGUCUAUGAUAUACAGUAUUAUUCAGACUAUUAUGUUAGCUGA